Long non-coding RNA from Heterocephalus glaber (naked mole-rat), 430 nucleotides. NCBI's taxonomy places the organism in Eukaryota, Metazoa, Chordata, Mammalia, Rodentia, Bathyergidae. The record is from Ensembl.
CAGCAGGCCCAUGUGGUUGGGAAGAGAGGAAGAUCAGCAACCAGGAGUUAGAGAUUUCCUGCAAUCUGAGAAGAAUACAGAAAUCCAGUAGUGUGCUUGUCACCAGCUAAGCCUUCCCAAACACCUGCUCAUUCUGGCAUCUGCUCUUCAGGAAGUCCUCUCUCCCAGAUGACUCCACAGCCACCUCUCUGCAGGAAUUAGACUCUGGAGGGGUCUUCAGUGUGUGGGGACAAACAGCAGAGUCAUAGUCGCCUUUCCUGAGCACCUUAUCCAUUCAUUCAGCCCAUAAACAGCACGUGUUUUAGGGACUUCCUUAAGGAAGCUCACCUUCUACUGGAUGAGAUGACCCCAUGAGCAAAUUGUGAGAUCACUGUUCAGUGCUCUAGAGAGGGACACAACCACCCUACAGGACAUGAGAGGACUUCUAGAC